This 496-nucleotide ribosomal RNA is filed under the name uncultured bacterium. RNAcentral describes it as "partial 16S ribosomal RNA". It matches the Rfam family "Bacterial small subunit ribosomal RNA", at positions 28 to 507 of the family's 1533-position model. The record is from RNAcentral.
GAUGAACGCUGGCGGCGUGCCUAAUACAUGCAAGUCGAGCGAACAGACGAGGAGCUUGCUCCUCUGACGUUAGCGGCGGACGGGUGAGUAACACGUGGAUAACCUACCUAUAAGACUGGGAUAACUUCGGGAAACCGGAGCUAAUACCGGAUAAUAUAUUGAACCGCAUGGUUCAAUAGUGAAAGACGGUUUUGCUGUCACUUAUAGAUGGAUCCGCGCCGCAUUAGCUAGUUGGUAAGGUAACGGCUUACCAAGGCAACGAUGCGUAGCCGACCUGAGAGGGUGAUCGGCCACACUGGAACUGAGACACGGUCCAGACUCCUACGGGAGGCAGCAGUAGGGAAUCUUCCGCAAGGGGCGAAAGCUUGACGGAGCAACGCCGCGUGAGUGAUGAAGGUCUUCGGAUCGUAAAACUCUGUUAUUGGGAAGAACAAAUGUGUAAGUAACUAUGCACGUCUUGACGGUACCUAAUCAGAAAGCCACGGCUAACUACGUG